This 253-nucleotide ribosomal RNA is filed under the name uncultured bacterium. RNAcentral describes it as "partial 16S ribosomal RNA". It matches the Rfam family "Bacterial small subunit ribosomal RNA", at positions 524 to 776 of the family's 1533-position model. The record is from RNAcentral.
UACGUAGGGUGCAAGCGUUAAUCGGAAUUACUGGGCGUAAAGCGUGCGCAGGCGGUUUUGUAAGUCUGAUGUGAAAUCCCCGGGCUCAACCUGGGAAUUGCAUUGGAGACUGCAAGGCUAGAAUCUGGCAGAGGGGGGUAGAAUUCUACGUGUAGCAGUGAAAUGCGUAGAGAUGUGGAGGAACACCGAUGGCGAAGGCAGCCCCCUGGGUCAAGAUUGACGCUCAUGCACGAAAGCGUGGGGAGCAAACAGG